AAACUUUCAACAAUGGAUCUCUUGGCUCUGGCAUCGAUGAAGAACGCAGCAAAAUGCGAUAAGUAGUGUGAAUUGCAGAAUUCCGUGAAUCAUCGAAUCUUUGAACGCACAUUGCGCCCUUUGGUAUUCCUUAGGGCAUGCCUGUUCGAGCGUCAUAA
This 158-nucleotide ribosomal RNA is filed under the name Amorosia littoralis. RNAcentral's name for it is "5.8S ribosomal RNA". It matches the Rfam family "5.8S ribosomal RNA". Rfam says of the family: 5.8S ribosomal RNA (5.8S rRNA) is a component of the large subunit of the eukaryotic ribosome. Lineage: Eukaryota; Fungi; Ascomycota; Dothideomycetes; Pleosporales; Amorosiaceae. The record is from RNAcentral.